GUCUCUGCAGCAUUUUAAGCUGUGCAGGCCCCUGAGGCAGCAGAUAAUCUCUUCGGCAGCGAGAUGAGCUAUUCAUUGGGUCACUGUUAUCCAUUUUGGUAUUACUGGAAGUUCCUCCUCCACUCCAAAUAAUCAGAACUUGGAAAAAAACCCAAAAAACCAACUUCAUUCUUGGAGAAAGGGCAAUGAAAGAUACUGCUCAAACCCAAAGUAAAGAAGUUUCUCCUUGCCAAGACUCUGCAGAAGUGCUCCAGAGAUGCCGGACACCCAUGUGCCGAGCGGCCCCCGCCCGCGCCGGGCGUGAG
RNAcentral lists this long non-coding RNA (305 nucleotides) under Cyanistes caeruleus (blue tit). RNAcentral's name for it is "lncRNA (ENSCCEG00000017471.1)". Lineage: Eukaryota; Metazoa; Chordata; Aves; Passeriformes; Paridae. The record is from RNAcentral.